This 499-nucleotide unclassified non-coding RNA is filed under the name uncultured Paraglomus. RNAcentral's name for it is "SSU rRNA". It matches the Rfam family "Eukaryotic small subunit ribosomal RNA", at positions 591 to 1092 of the family's 1831-position model. The record is from RNAcentral. Lineage: Eukaryota; Fungi; Glomeromycota; Glomeromycetes; Paraglomerales; Paraglomeraceae.
CCAAUAGCGUAUAUUAAAGUUGUUGUGGUUAAAAAGCUCGUAGUUGAACCUUGGGCCUGGCUGGCCGGUCCGCCUCACCGCGUGUACUGGUCCGGCCGGGCCUUUCCCUCUGUGGAACCUCAUGCCCUUCACUGGGCGUGACGGGGAAACAGGACUUUUACUGUGAAAAAAUUAGAGUGCUCCAGGCAGGCCUAUGCUCGAAUACAUUAGCAUGGAAUAAUGAAAUAGGACGUGCGGUUCUAUUUUGUUGGUUUCUAGGACCGCCGUAAUGAUUAAUAGGGACAGUCGGGGGCAUCAGUAUUCAAUUGUCAGAGGUGAAAUUCUUGGAUUUAUUGAAGACUAACUACUGCGAAAGCAUUUGCCAAGGAUGUUUUCAUUAAUCAGGAACGAAAGUUAGGGGAUCGAAGACGAUCAGAUACCGUCGUAGUCUUAACCAUAAACUAUGCCGACUAGGGAUCGGAUGAUGUUAAUUUUUUAAUGACUCAUUCGGCGCCUUACG